GACGAACGCUGGCGGCGUGCUUAACACAUGCAAGUCGAACGAAGUGGCGAACGGGGGAGUAACGCGUAAUCAACCUGCCCUUCAGAGGGGGACAACAGUUGGCAACGACUGCUAAUACCGCAUACUGAAGGAGGGGAUUGAGUCUGAUUAGCUAGUGGGAGGGGUACAGGCCCACCAAGGCGAUGAACAGGAGCCGGUCUGAGAGGAUGAACGGCCACAUUUGGACUGAGACACGGCCCAGACUCCUACGGGAUGCAGCAGUGGGGAAUCUUCCGCAAUGGACGAAAGUCUGACGGAGCAACGCCGCGUGAGUGAUGACGGCCUUCGGGUUGUAAAGCUCUGUUAAUCGGGACGCGGUACCGGAAUAGAAAGCCACGGCUAACUACGUGCCAGCCGCCGCGGUAAUAC
RNAcentral lists this ribosomal RNA (408 nucleotides) under uncultured bacterium. Its description in RNAcentral is "partial 16S ribosomal RNA". It matches the Rfam family "Bacterial small subunit ribosomal RNA", at positions 28 to 526 of the family's 1533-position model. The record is from RNAcentral.